Molecule: long non-coding RNA, 661 nt
Organism: Homo sapiens (human)
Lineage: Eukaryota; Metazoa; Chordata; Mammalia; Primates; Hominidae
Exons: 3
Source: RefSeq, a predicted model, not a curated record
UCCUUCCCGAGCUGCCGUCUUUCCCAGGGUCCGCUCACUGAGUCCCCACAUGCCCAGCGUCGGACCUGACCCUCGGACAGGCGCGGCCCCAGACGCCGGGGACAGGGCAGUCAACAGAACAGACACAACUCCUCGCCUUCCUAGUUGGGGCUCUGUUUUCCUGUGUCUUCCGUGACACUGUCUUGAGCGUGCUUGCUUAUGAAGGUUUGACACCCGUCCCCACCAUACCUGCCUGCCACUGCCAGGAUGACUGGAGUCUCAGGUGGCUUUGUGCCAAUGGAGGGAAAAAGAAAGAUAACAAGGAACUAGACACUGUGGGUGAACUCCUGGCCUCCUGCUGCGAGGCGCCUGAGGACCCUGGGCUCUCCCUCCUCGGUUUGGGCUUCAGAGGACCCUGGGCUCUCCCUCCUCGGUUUGGGCUUCAGAAGGUGGCUCCACUUCUGGGUGGCAGUGACAGGCAGACCUGCUGAGAGCCCAGAGAGAAAUACUACCCUGCAGGGAGAUAAGGUCAUCAACCUGCCACCACUGGUAUAUUCCCAUAAUAAUGUCCACUGGUCCCAGUCGAGAGGCACCCACUCCUUUUCCUCUUGUCUAACACAGGAGUCUCGAGCUGCCUAAAGAAACCCAUUUUUGGGAAGAGGAUUAAAAACAAACAAACAAA